AACGAACGCUGGCGGCAGGCCUAACACAUGCAAGUCGAGCGAGCAUUUCGGUGCUAGCGGCGGACGGGUGAGUAACGCGUGGGAACGUGCCCUUUUCUGCGGAAUAGUCCUGGGAAACUGGGGGUAAUACCGCAUAUGCCCUUUUGGGGAAAGAUUUAUCGGAGAAGGAUCGGCCCGCGUUGGAUUAGGUAGUUGGUGGGGUAAUGGCCCACCAAGCCGACGAUCCAUAGCUGGUUUGAGAGGAUGAUCAGCCACACUGGGACUGAGACACGGCCCAGACUCCUACGGGAGGCAGCAGUGGGGAAUCUUAGACAAUGGGGGCAACCCUGAUCUAGCCAUGCCGCGUGAGUGAUGAAGGCCUUAGGGUUGUAAAGCUCUUUCAGCUGGGAAGAUAAUGACGGUACCAGCAGAAGAAGCCCCGGCUAACUCCGUG
This 433-nucleotide ribosomal RNA is filed under the name uncultured bacterium. Its description in RNAcentral is "partial 16S ribosomal RNA". It matches the Rfam family "Bacterial small subunit ribosomal RNA", at positions 29 to 507 of the family's 1533-position model. The record is from RNAcentral.